CAAUUUUCGGCUGUGGAGUGGGCUAGUACUGUGAUUUUAACAUUGAGUAUUGCACAUUCCCCAGCCUGAAAGUGU
Molecule: non-coding RNA, 75 nt
Organism: Drosophila erecta
Lineage: Eukaryota; Metazoa; Arthropoda; Insecta; Diptera; Drosophilidae
Source: Rfam